RNAcentral lists this ribosomal RNA (497 nucleotides) under uncultured bacterium. Its description in RNAcentral is "partial 16S ribosomal RNA". It matches the Rfam family "Bacterial small subunit ribosomal RNA", at positions 28 to 507 of the family's 1533-position model. The record is from RNAcentral.
GAUGAACGCUGGCGGCGUGCCUAAUACAUGCAAGUCGAGCGAACAGACGAGGAGCUUGCUCCUCUGACGUUAGCGGCGGACGGGUGAGUAACACGUGGAUAACCUACCUAUAAGACUGGGAUAACUUCGGGAAACCGGAGCUAAUACCGGAUAAUAUAUUGAACCGCAUGGUUCAAUAGUGAAAGACGGUGUUGCUGUCACUUAUAGAUGGAUCCGCGCCGCAUUAGCUAGUUGGUAAGGUAACGGCUUACCAAGGCAACGAUGCGUAGCCGACCUGAGAGGGUGAUCGGCCACACUGGGACUGAGACACGGUCCAGACUCCUACGGGAGGCAGCAGUAGGGAAUCUUCCGCAAUGGGCGAAAGCCUGACGGAGCAACGCCGCGUGAGUGAUGAAGGUCUUCGGAUCGUAAAACUCUGUUAUUAGGGAAGAACAAAUGUGUAAGUAACUAUGCACGUCUUGACGGUACCUAAUCAGAAAGCCACGGCUAACUACGUG